UAAGUCUCCUGAAGGAACGUUGAAGACGACGACGUUGAUAGGCCGGGUGUGUAAGCGCAGCGAUGCGUUGAGCUAACCAGUACUAAUGAACCGUGAGGCUUAACCUU
Molecule: ribosomal RNA, 107 nt
Filed under: Klebsiella variicola
Lineage: Bacteria; Pseudomonadati; Pseudomonadota; Gammaproteobacteria; Enterobacterales; Enterobacteriaceae
Description: partial 23S ribosomal RNA
Rfam family: Bacterial large subunit ribosomal RNA
Source: RNAcentral